Long non-coding RNA from Monodelphis domestica (gray short-tailed opossum), 476 nucleotides. RefSeq lists it as uncharacterized. NCBI's taxonomy places the organism in Eukaryota, Metazoa, Chordata, Mammalia, Didelphimorphia, Didelphidae. The record is from RefSeq and is a predicted model, not a curated record.
GACCAGCUUUUAAAGUUGAAUUCUUCCUUCUUCUUUUUUUUUUCCUUCAGGUUUCAGCUCUGCAUCUGCCUGGAUGCCAGCCAAGGGUCUGCAAACACUGAGGUGUUGGUAUGCUAGGGUGAGGCUCAUUGCCAUAGCAACAGGCUGGAUUCCCUGAGAAGUGAGCUCAGCAGGAGAAAACAUGGCUCCACCUGGCUCUAGCAUCAGGGCUAAGAAAGAAGAAAAGCAAUGCAGUGGGUCAUAACAUGGCUGUGAGCAGCCCAAAAACUUCCUUGAGGUUGAAUGGGCCAAGCACAGAAUAUCUGUGAGUGAUGAUGGAGGAUCUUCCUUAUAUGAUUUCCCUUGGGGCUGCUUGGACAGUCUUCAGGGAGAUGGUGGAGAAGGAGAAGCCAGGCAACCAGAAGCAUCUACAAAGUGAGAGUUCAUCCACCAGAGAACAGUACUUAGCAUCAGCACCCAAUAUUUAAACAAAAAGA